This is a long non-coding RNA of Phyllostomus discolor (pale spear-nosed bat), 1796 nucleotides long. RefSeq lists it as uncharacterized. Lineage: Eukaryota; Metazoa; Chordata; Mammalia; Chiroptera; Phyllostomidae. The transcript is spliced from 2 exons. The record is from RefSeq and is a predicted model, not a curated record.
GGUGUGGGGCACUAUGGUAGCAGUGAGGUGGGUGGGGAGAGGUCCAGGCAGGUGUGGACCAUGUUGGUGGUGGAAAAAGGCAGAAUGUUUACAGAAGGAGCUUGGGCGUUAUUUAUAUAACUGGGACUGGUAGUCUGCAGUGAAGGGGAUAAAAGACAUGGCUGAUGUGUCUUAUUUCACCCAUUGAGCUAACCUACUCAUUGUAGCCCUCUGUUGAGUCCUGGGAGCACAACAAAUGAACAGGAAAGGAGGGAGCGAACUGGCCUUGGGAGGCCUCCAGAGGGCGCCCUUGGUCCACCUCUUUGUAAUUUCAGCUUCGCAUUUCUUUGCCUUCUCUAGACAGUAUUUCCUUAUAUACCAGAAUAGUCAGUUGGAGGAGGUCUAUCAAAGGUGAAACGGUUGGAUUUUACAAAGAACUUGAAGAGUUGAAAAACCUGUGCAUUAGUGGCACAGCUGGGCAAAGUCUUGGGAGAGGCAGAAGAUGGGGUGGGCCUGAGAUAGCAAAAUGACUCGGCUUAACAAGGGCUGUGUGUUAAAGUUAAUGCAAGUAAAGGUGUUGUUUGGACAGUAAACUGCAAGUAGAGUCAGGAGCAACUAAAUAUCUAGUUGAUUAGACUGCAUCUGGUUUUCAUCGUAAAUCAUUUCCCCAGGGUCCAAGUGGGAUAUGAAACCAAGGUAUAGCCAGAUGAGUCUGGCCCCUAGCAAGGGGUCCUAUUGGGAGACCAUGUACUCAUUUUUCCAGGACUAUUGCUCUUGUUUAAAACCUAUUUGGAACUCCAUUUUGGGAAUGGCCUUCAGAGCCCAUAGCAUAUUAUUUGGUUGUCCUCACUGAUAAUAUGUCACCAUGCUUUAAGAUCCUGAAAUGGUGAGAAGUUACUUGGUUCCAAGUCUGGUGUGAAUAAGGUUCCUGAAUGGCUGGUAGACACCUGGUUAUGAGCAGGAGGAUCCAUAAAGCAGUGGGACUGACUUUGUUAAAACAGCAUAAGCAUGGGUCACCUGAUCACUUCCCUCUACAGCCUUAGUGUUAAGUGAUUCUGAAUCUUUUAUGGCUUGUAGACCUUUUGAGGACAUGACAAAAGCCUAGACCUUCUCCUUGCAAAAAAACAAAAAUAUAUGUAGGUAUAUGGAUUUGCCUGUAAUUUGGGACUUCCAUCACCUCCCUGGAGCCCAUCUUUGAUUCCAUUUGUCCUAGCCUUGCACCUAAGGCCAGCAUAAAGAUAACAGUUAAAGGAGUUCAAGAAGCAAGCCAGAACUGAACUAGAUGCUUUAUAGUUACAUAAACAUCUUGAAUGUGAGUGUGAUUUGGGACUGUGGGCAAAUUAAUCUAUCAUUGGGAUAGAAAUUAAUGAGAAGGUAAGGAGCUGCUGACAAUGUAAGUCCAAAAAGGGUUAUACUGUGGUUCUGGCUGGGUAGCUCAUUUGGUUAGAGCGUUGUCCCAAAGUGCCAAGGUUUCGGGUUUGAUUCCCGACUCAAACAAGGGCUCAUAUAAGAAUCAACCAAUGAAUAUAUUAAUAAGUGGAACAACAAAUUGGGGUUUAUCUUUCUCUGGGGUCACACUGUGAAAAAUACCUACUUUCAGGGAAGGGGAGUUGAGGGACUGGGUGAAAGGAUUAGUAAGUACAGCUUGGUGGUUACAAAACAGUCAUGGGGAUGUAAAGUACAGCAUAGAGAAUAUAGUUAAUGACAUUGCAGUAACUACGUAUGGUGCCAGGUACUGGAAAUGUUGGGCGGAACACUUUGUAAAGUUUAUGAUUGUCUGACCACAAUGUUGUACACCUGAAACCAAUACAAAAUAA